CUCAAAAAGAGGAACAAAUUCCUGGUGACCCGCUCAACCGUCCACCCACUCGCCCACACACUGACAAAACAAGUGGGUUCUGAAUAUCUACCAUAUGUGAAUCCCGGUGCCCAGUAGAACGAUUCCAAACAGGAGAAGAGGCAGCGAAGCUAGAGGUGUCAGAUAUGGAGGUGACCAGUUGUUCCCGCGAUGAGUGGGUGGGCAACUCGUCAGCCUUGGAAGACAAGCCCAGCCUCUUGAGUAUGCAUGUGGGUCUCGCCUCUGUGAAUAUGUAACAGCAAACAGUGUCGUUGGCAGAAUUUCUGUUUGUGGAACUGCCAUCGCGUGGGACUGGGCCGUGCCCCUGAUGUGAACGAUGCCAGCACUGUGUGCGACUGACUGACCGCCAGUCCAGCAUCUGCGCGUGGCUGGUUCCAGCAGUGACGCGCAUACCCAGGGCCUGUGCAGCUAGCUAAGGCGCAAGACCUGGCCGUGGGAAAUGCGAUCGUCUCAUCGUGGAGACCCUAGUUUGUUUGUUUUCCUCCCGGACUCUCUCCUUCCCACACCCCCUUCCCUUUCUUGUUUUGAGGAGAGAAAACAGGCCACGCUAGGGAACCUGCAACAGCAGUGAGUAGAACAAUCACACGUGACUGGAGCAUCCAUCACGGCCUGGUCCUUCAGCCCGGCCCGGCCCGGAGAAGCCGCCACCCUGGCUGCUGCCUUCGCCGCGGCCCGCGCUUUAUUAGAAUUUAUACGUUGCCCCGAUUGAGGGGGAAAAUAAUUAACACCCCUACAAAUAUAUC
Acinonyx jubatus (cheetah) is the source of this 782-nucleotide long non-coding RNA. RefSeq lists it as uncharacterized. Lineage: Eukaryota; Metazoa; Chordata; Mammalia; Carnivora; Felidae. The transcript has 4 exons. The record is from RefSeq and is a predicted model, not a curated record.